AUUGAACGCUGGCGGCAUGCCUAACACAUGCAAGUCGAACGGAUCCUUCGGGAUUAGUGGCGGACGGGUGAGUAACACGUGGGAACGUGCCCUUUGGUUCGGAACAACUCAGGGAAACUUGAGCUAAUACCGGAUGUGCCCUUCGGGGGAAAGAUUUAUCGCCAUUGGAGCGGCCCGCGUCUGAUUAGCUAGUUGGUGAGGUAAAGGCUCACCAAGGCGACGAUCAGUAGCUGGUCUGAGAGGAUGAUCAGCCACAUUGGGACUGAGACACGGCCCAAACUCCUACGGGAGGCAGCAGUGGGGAAUCUUGCGCAAUGGGCGAAAGCCUGACGCAGCCAUGCCGCGUGAAUGAUGAAGGUCUUAGGAUUGUAAAAUUCUUUCACCGGGGACGAUAAUGACGGUACCCGGAGAAGAAGCCCCGGCUAACUUCGUGCCAGCAGCCGCCGUAA
This 449-nucleotide ribosomal RNA is filed under the name uncultured bacterium. RNAcentral's name for it is "partial 16S ribosomal RNA". It matches the Rfam family "Bacterial small subunit ribosomal RNA", at positions 30 to 523 of the family's 1533-position model. The record is from RNAcentral.